RNAcentral lists this ribosomal RNA (400 nucleotides) under uncultured bacterium. RNAcentral's name for it is "bacterial SSU rRNA". It matches the Rfam family "Bacterial small subunit ribosomal RNA", at positions 356 to 773 of the family's 1533-position model. The record is from RNAcentral.
GGGGAAUAUUGCACAAUGGACGAAAGUCUGAUGCAGCAACGCCGCGUGGAGGAUGACACAUUUCGGUGCGUAAACUCCUUUUAUAUAGGAAGAUAAUGACGGUACUAUAUGAAUAAGCACCGGCUAACUCCGUGCCAGCAGCCGCGGUAAUACGGAGGGUGCAAGCGUUACUCGGAAUCACUGGGCGUAAAGAGCGUGUAGGCGGGUAUAUAAGUCAGAAGUGAAAUCCAAUAGCUUAACUAUUGAACUGCUUUUGAAACUGUAUACAUAGAAUGUGGGAGAGGUAGAUGGAAUUUCUGGUGUAGGGGUAAGAUCCGUAGAGAUCAGAAGGAAUACCGAUUGCGAAGGCGAUCCACUGGAACAUGAUUGACGCUGAGACGCGAAAGCGUGGGGAGCAAAC